This 689-nucleotide long non-coding RNA is filed under the name Marmota monax (woodchuck). Lineage: Eukaryota; Metazoa; Chordata; Mammalia; Rodentia; Sciuridae. The record is from RNAcentral.
AUGCUGAUUGUCAGUUCCCUGAUGAUUAGUGAUGUUGGACACAUUUUAAACAAAUAUUUGACCAUUUAUAUAUCUUUGAGGAAAUGUCUAGUCAAGUCCUUUUUCCACUUUUAAAUAAAUAUUUUUACUUUUUCUAUUGAGUUGCCGGAGUUUUUAUAUAUAUUGGAGAUUCACCUCUUAUCAGACAUGGUUUGUGAAUAAUUUUUGUUCAACCCCAUAGGUAACUGUUUUGCUCUGUAGAUUGUUUCAUUUGCUGUGAAGAAGCUCUUUGGGAAGACAUAGUCUCAGUUGUCUCCUUUUUCUUUUGUUGGCUGUGCUUUUAAAAUCAUAUCCAUGAAUCAGUCAUCACCAAGGGCAAGGGCAAGAAACUCCUCUCCUGUCUUAUCCUAGGAGUGUCACAUUUUUAAACUGAUGUUGAGGUCUUGAAUCCAUGUCCAGUUGAUUUGGUGUAUGGCAUAAGCUGAAGGUCCAGUGUCAUUAAUUUGCAAGUGGAUAUCCAGUUUUCCAACAACCAUUUGUUGCAGACACUCUUCUUUCCCUUGUCUAUUCUUGAUGCCCUUGACAAAGAACAGUCGAGUGGUUAUGCAUGUGUUUAUUUCUGAUCUCUCUGUUAUGUUCCAUUGGUUUAUAUGUCUACAUUAAUAAUGAAGAGUUAUAUCAGGAAAAUAUUUUGAAGUUGGAUAUUUUUU